RNAcentral lists this long non-coding RNA (1274 nucleotides) under Pan troglodytes (chimpanzee). RNAcentral's name for it is "long non-coding RNA NONPTRT011255". The record is from RNAcentral. Lineage: Eukaryota; Metazoa; Chordata; Mammalia; Primates; Hominidae.
CAGGAUUUGCGCUUGGUCAACCAAGCUACAGUGACUUUGCACCCAGUGGUACCUAACCUGUACACAUUGUUGGGGUUGCUGCCAGCUGAGGACAGCUGGUUCACUUGCCUGGACCUAAAGGACAUUUUCUUUAGCAUCAGGCUAGCUCCUGAGAGCCAGAAACUGUUUGCCUUUCAGUGGGAGGAUCCGGGGUCAGGUGUCACCACUCAGUACGCUUGGACCCGGCUUCCCCAAGGGUCCAAGAACUCCCCCACCAUCUUUGAGGGGGUGCUGGCUUGAGACCUCCAGAAGUUUCCCACUUCUGGAGUUUCGAGUGGAGUUUCCCACUCGAGCUGCUUGCUGCUCAAGUACUUCGAUGACCUCCUGCUGGGACACCCCACGGCAGUCAGGUGUGUCAAGGGAAUGGAUACCCUACUCCAGCACCUGGAGGACUGUGGGUAUAAGGUGCCCAAGAAGAAAGCUCAGAUCUGCAGACAGCAGGUAAGUUACCUGGGAUUUACUAUCUGACAGGGGGAGCACAGCCUGGGAUCAGAAAGAAAGCAGGUCAUUUGCAACCUACCGGAGCCCGAGACCAGAAGGCAGGUGCAUGGGGCAUUGUAUAAAGAAAAAGGCCUGUUGAACUCUGGGGGAAAAGACACAAAGUAUCAGCAAGAGAUCCUGCAAUUAUUAGAGGCAGUGUGAAAGCCCCAAAAGGUGGCAGUCAUGCACUGCAGAGGACACCAACAAUCUUUCACCUUGAUUGCCUUGGGGAACUCCCGAGCUGACUCAGAGGCUCGAAAAGCAGCAUCCACCCCCUACCGGGCAUCAGUCACAGCACCCCCCUGCUCCUUCAGGCACCUGACCUUGUACCUACUUAUUCUAAAGAAGAGAAGGACUUUCUCCAGGCAGAGGGAGGGCAGGUGAUAGAAGAGGGAUGGACCAAGUUAUCAGAUAGAAGAAUAGCCAUGCCACAACCGCUAGGAGCUGCAGUCAUACUGGCUGUUCAUGAGACCACCCACCUAGACCAAGAGUCACUUGAAAAGUUGUUAGGCCGGUAGUUCUACAACUCACAUCCGGCAGCCCUUGCCAAAACAGUGGUGUAUCAGUGUGUCACCUGCUGGCAGCACAAUGGUAGGCAAAGUGCAAAUGUCCCGCCCGGCAUACAAGCCUGUGGAGCAGACCCCUUUGAAGAUCUCCAAGUAGACUUCACCAAGAUGCCCAAAUGUGGAGGUAACAAGUAUUUGCUAGUUCUAGUGUGUACAUACUCUGGGGGUGGUGGUGGUGGUGGUGUGGAG